RNAcentral lists this transfer RNA (75 nucleotides) under Candidatus Moduliflexus flocculans. RNAcentral's name for it is "tRNA-Gly". It matches the Rfam family "tRNA". Rfam says of the family: Transfer RNA (tRNA) molecules are approximately 80 nucleotides in length. Their secondary structure includes four short double-helical elements and three loops (D, anti-codon, and T loops). Further hydrogen bonds mediate the characteristic L-shaped molecular structure. tRNAs have two regions of fundamental functional importance: the anti-codon, which is responsible for specific mRNA codon recognition, and the 3' end, to which the tRNAs corresponding amino acid is attached (by aminoacyl-tRNA synthetases). tRNAs cope with the degeneracy of the genetic code in two manners: having more than one tRNA (with a specific anti-codon) for a particular amino acid; and 'wobble' base-pairing, i.e. permitting non-standard base-pairing at the 3rd anti-codon position. Lineage: Bacteria; Candidatus Moduliflexota; Candidatus Moduliflexia; Candidatus Moduliflexales; Candidatus Moduliflexaceae. The record is from RNAcentral. RNAcentral also lists the same sequence under 8 other names.
GCGGGCAUAGCUCAAUGGUAGAGUACCGGCUUCCCAAGCCGGGUGUUGUGGGUUCGAGUCCCAUUGCCCGCUCCA